AUGAUCCGGAGCAAGAUCACCUACUACGCCAUGUUGAUGUCGGAGCGCCGCUAUGAGAUCCAGCAGGAGAUCCGGAGCAUGAUCUUUUCUACAGAGGCGCCUACCUGCCUGUCCAGGUUGCUGCUGCUGCUGCUGCUGUAUGUGAUCGAUCCAUAUCGCCAAAGAGCAAACAACUGUAUUGAUCUUCCUUCAGAUCUUCCGUCAGGUCAGGCCGCGACCGUGGCGCAGCUGGUAGGCGCAGACAUCGGCGGGCUCAUCUCCAUGAUCAUGCAGUCUGCGAUGACGGCCAGGAAGAACAGGUCCGAGUGCGAGCAGCUUGCGCGUCGGGUCCUCAUGAUUGCGCAGCUAUUACCACACGUGCAGGAGCCAGAGGCGGCGCAGCCGCUGGCCGGCAUUGGGGAUACUCUUCGGAGCGCCCACGAGCUCGUCUUGUCCUGCCAGGGGAGGAGUACGGCGUACCAGUUUGUCAUGGCUGGCAGGACGGCCGAGAGGUUCAGGGAGGAUGGCUCCACCAGAGAUGAACGGUCGCAUCCACUUCCACAGUCGUCCCAGCUGCAGGAAUCUUUUGUGAUGGCUCAGGAUGUACUACCACAUGGAACCCAGGAAUUUACGUUGGCAGAGAUCGUGGCCGCCACUAAUAACUUUGCCAUUGACACCAAGAUCGGUUAUGGCUGCUUUGCAAGGGUGUACAGGGGAAGGCUUUACGAUGGGCAAGAGGUGGCCAUCAAGCACUUCUGUAACCAUGAUGAGUACUCCGUAGAGGUCUUUAGCACAGAGCUCGGCAUUCUAUCACGGCUCCGACACAAACACAUCAUCUGCCUCCUUGGAUCGUGUGUAAGUGUGAGCAAGGACAAGCACCCGCUAACCACCCGACAAAAGAUAAAAAAGAGCCUACUGACCAGAUGGAGAAAGGAGCCGGAAGAUCCUGAAAAGCCAGAGAGGCUGAUCGUCUACGAGUACAUGGAGAAUGGCACGCUCCAGGACCUCCUGCGUCCUGAUGACGGCUCCUCCAUGCUGUCGCCAGUGACGGUGUCCUGGAAGAUGCGCAUCAAUGUGCUCCUUGGCGUGUCACACGCCAUCGAGCACUUACACUGUCAUGCCAACCCGCCGAUCAUCCACCGGGACAUCAAGUCAGCUAACAUCCUUUUUGACGCCAGUUGGGUGCCUCGUUUGUCAGACUUUGGCUCCUCGGUUGUAUGGGACAUGGCAACUCAGGAGGAGGGGAUGGAGGUCCCAGCUAUAGGCACAUUUGGGUACAUAGCCCCUGAGUGCAUCAUGUAUUGUCGUCUGAAGCCGGCGAGCGACGUGUACAGCCUGGGCGUGGUGAUGCUCGAGGUUCUGACAGGGAAAAGUGCAUAUUCUCAAUUGAAGGAUGAUGGGACAGGUGGACCUUUGACAGACUUCGCACUCCCCAUCAUUGAAGUCGGUAAUAUUGAGGAGUUGUUGGACAGGCGACCUGUACCGGAGCCAACGCCUUGGCAGCUGCAGGCGAUGAAACGUGUGGCGCAGAUUGCAUGGUGCUGCGGGAAGUUGGAUGCGAAGGACCGGCCGGCCAUAUCAGACAUUGUUGCCAACCUCGAGAUGGCGUAUGAGUUAAUCUGCAGAGACGAGCACGGUUCAGUUGACGAGCCAUGUUUGUGGCCCUUCGUCGAACAAAUUGACCUCCCAUUGGACUCACCACACUCCAGGAGCUUGUCAUCGGCAGGCUACCAUUCCGAGCUGGAAUCUGAGGUGUUGGACUUGGAGGAGGGGCGUUGA
This 1758-nucleotide ribosomal RNA is filed under the name Triticum aestivum (bread wheat). RNAcentral's name for it is "partial small subunit ribosomal RNA". The record is from RNAcentral. Lineage: Eukaryota; Viridiplantae; Streptophyta; Magnoliopsida; Poales; Poaceae.